RNAcentral lists this long non-coding RNA (208 nucleotides) under Ananas comosus (pineapple). Its description in RNAcentral is "long non-coding RNA (ACOM_LNC038480)". The record is from RNAcentral. Lineage: Eukaryota; Viridiplantae; Streptophyta; Magnoliopsida; Poales; Bromeliaceae.
UUUUGGUGUUCUCAACAGUAGGUGUUGAACUGUAAAUAAUGUAAAGCAAGAAAUGUAAAUUAUAUUUUGGGUAAUGUAAGAAUGGUGUAAAUCAUGUAUUUUGGUUAAUGGAAGACGUGAUGUAAAUAAAUGUAAAUGUAGUAGACUACUUGUGUUUGAUUCAAAUGAAAUCAAAUGACUUGUAUAUUGGAUGCUUAGAUAGUUCGAU